RNAcentral lists this small RNA (504 nucleotides) under Pongo abelii (Sumatran orangutan). RNAcentral describes it as "processed transcript". Lineage: Eukaryota; Metazoa; Chordata; Mammalia; Primates; Hominidae. The record is from RNAcentral.
CUUCCAAACCCUCUGCUCACCUACCAGCUCUAUGGGAAGUUCAGUGUGAGUAAGGGAGCUGGCGGGACGGAGGGGGCCAGGACACCUCUGGCCCAGACCUCAUCACACCCGCCCACCAUCUCAGGAGGCCAUGUCAGUGCCUGGGGAGGAGGAGCGUCUGGUGCGGGUGCACGAUGUCAUCCAGCAGCUGCCCCCGCCACAUUACAGGACGCUGGAGUACCUGCUGAGGCACCUGGCCCGCAUGGCGAGACACAGUGCCAACACCAGCAUGCAUGCCCGCAACCUGGCCAUUGUCUGGGCACCCAACCUGCUACGGUCCAUGGAGCUGGAGUCAGUGGGAAUGGGUGGCGCGGCGGCGUUCCGGGAAGUUCGGGUGCAGUCGGUGGUGGUGGAGUUUCUGCUCACCCAUGUGGACGUCCUGUUCAGCGACACCUUCACCUCCGCCGGCCUCGACCCUGCAGCUCCUCCGCUCAGGAUUCCCACCUCUUGGCCCGGACGCCGCUC